AAUUGGGCAAAGGUGAUGUGUAUGGAUUUAUUGAUCCAUAUCUCAUUCAGGGUGAAAAUGAUCAUGCUAGUGUUCACACCUUCAUAUAAAACAAGAUGCAUGGCGAUCAAAAAGAUUUUUACCUAGCUCCUUAUUUUAGCGAUCAUCAUUGGAAAUUGCUCAUCAUCAAUCCCAAAAAGCAUGAAGUUGUCUUUUUUAUGUUCGCUGGGAAGGAGAAAGCCGGAUAAAACAAUCUCUUGCAUUAUUGAAUUAGCUUUGGAUGGUUAUAAUAAGUUGCAAGGUGUGAAAAAGAAAACUAAAGCAAAAUGGAUUCAUCCAAUU
Molecule: long non-coding RNA, 321 nt
Organism: Vicia villosa (hairy vetch)
Lineage: Eukaryota; Viridiplantae; Streptophyta; Magnoliopsida; Fabales; Fabaceae
Exons: 3
Source: RefSeq, a predicted model, not a curated record